This 30-nucleotide non-coding RNA is filed under the name Homo sapiens (human). Lineage: Eukaryota; Metazoa; Chordata; Mammalia; Primates; Hominidae. The record is from RNAcentral.
UCAUGAGAUGACUGAAAAUUCCAGGUGGCC